RNAcentral lists this long non-coding RNA (5535 nucleotides) under Canis lupus familiaris (dog). RNAcentral describes it as "lncRNA (ENSCAFG00030018516.1)". The record is from RNAcentral. Lineage: Eukaryota; Metazoa; Chordata; Mammalia; Carnivora; Canidae.
AUGAAAAUUCUUGCAGUCGAUAUCUUAAAAUCCAUACAUCAUGUAUAAAGCAGAUAGUACAGAAGUGAUUCAAACAAUGACCACACUGUGGCAUCCUAGCAUCAUGCAAGAUGCAGGAAAAUCACACCUAGGUGGUAGUGGAUGCUGGGGAGAGACAUCAAGUUCAGGUAGAAGUAAUUGCACUUGUUUGAUGGUGGAUAAGUGUUUCACUUUUUUUCCAUGUUCAGACCUCUUUUUAAUUUUAGUCUUUCAUAUCUGCCAAUUUUUGCCAGUGGUCUGAAGAAGAAGGACUCCCCAUUUCCUCUGAAACACUAUCCUGUUCAGCCUAUCAUUUAUCUGCGACUUUUGGGGGAUGUUUCAGAAGCCUCCAGAGGGAAGGAAGAGCUACAGGAGUUAGCAGAACAGGAAGCUUGUAUAUAUUUUAGACAAACAAUAUAUUUGUAAGGAAUCCACAAUGACAGAGGAGUGUGGGCUACAAGACAUCAGUGGUGAAGAAGCGACUAGGAAGAUAAAGACUGGUUGAACAUGGUUUGCUUAAACAGACUGCUCAGUCUCAAAUUCCCUGUCUUUGGGGAUAAGAAGGUCUUCUUUUCUUCCAGUACAGGAAGCUUAUCUUUCACAUCGUACAAAGCAAACAUUAGUUUUCAGAAAGAAUACAGUCUGAAUUUAUCUGGAAGGAGGGAAUGUUUUUAUCCCCCAAUGGCUCAUAUUUAUCCAGGUACUUUGCUAAGAGUGAUCAGAAAAUUCUUGUUACUUCUUGAAUUUAUGGCCAAAGAAAGGAGAAGAAUUUUUGCCUCUGAUAAUAUUUUGCAGAGUUUGUAAGACACAGAGGACUGUACUCCUUUGAGUCUCCAACUUUUAACAAACCCAUGUCUGAGCACAGCUAAUGAUAAAUUAAUUUACUUUGUCCAGAGUGUGUCUGAGUUUCCUGCAGCAUCAGGAGAGGGAGAGACAGACACCAUGAUUCCUACCAAGAUGGCUACUGCUCUUGCUGUCAAUGGCUUUGCUGGCCUUGGGCUCUGCUCAGGGCAUCAGUGACGAUGAUGAAUUCUUGAAAGAAACCCCAGAGGAAUCACAAGUGAAAUCUCAAGAAGAAAAUGGAGUUGAGAACAGCAAGCCAGACAAAGAUGGUCCAGGUGGCCCACAGAGACCAGCAGGCCAACAAGUUCCAGGUGGUCAACAGCAACCAGGAGCCCAAAGUGGUCCAGGUGGCCCACAGGGUCCAGCAGGCCAACAAGGCCCAGGUGGCCAACAGCGUCCAGGAGCCCAAGGUGGUCCAGGUGGCCCACAGCGUCCAGCAGGCCAACAGGACCCAGGUGGCCAACAGCGUCCAGGAGCCCAAGGUGGUCCAGGUGGUCCACAGCGUCCAGCAGGCCAACAGCGUCCAGGAGCCCAAGGUGGUCCAGGUGGCCCUCAAAGUCCAGCAGGCCAACAGGGCCCAGGUGGCCAACAGCGUCCAGGAGCCCAUGGUGGUCCAGUUGGCCCACAGCGUCCAGCAGGCCAACAGGGUCCAGGUGGCCAACAGCGUCCAGGAGCCCAAGGUGGUCCAGGUGGCCCACAGGGUUCAGUGGGCCAACAGGGUCCAGGAGGUCAACAGGGUCCAGGAGCCCAAGGUGGUCCAGGUGGCCCACAGGGUCCAGCGGGCCAACAGGGUCCAGGUGGCCAACAGCGUCCAGGAGCCCAAGGUGGUCCAAGUGGCCCACAGGGUCCAGCAGGCCAACAGGGUCCAGGUGGCCAGCAGCAUCCAGGAGCCCAGGGAGUUCCAGGUGGCCCACAGGGUUCUGGCAGGGCAACAUGGCCCAAGUGGCCAACAGGGCUCAGGUGGUCAAGGUAGUCCAGGGUGGCCAGCGUGAUCAGCGUGGUGGCCAGUAACAAGGAAAACCAAGUAAAGAGGACCUCCUGUGAUUUCCUAGGUAUCGAUUCUAUUCUUACUCAAUAAUCUAGGGAAUUUCUUUUGAUGUUUCCUAAUUCUCUAUUCUUGUUUCUGUUUUUUCUUACCUAUUUUCUUUUACAUUUUUUAAAUUUAAAUUCAGUUUGCCAACAUAUAGUAUAAUACCUUGACUUCAAUCUGUCUUAAGCUCUUGUCCUUGCUGUGAUUCUCCUUGCUUCAAGCUAACCCAUAGAAAAAUCUCUUCCAUUAUAAGAGCAAAUGUUCUUUCCUCCAGAGUAUGUUUGUUGUUUGUUUGUUUGCUUGUUUUUGACUCUAUUUCUUAUGUUAGCCUAUAACCUUCCCAUGUUCUAUCUCCUUUGUCAUCUACCACUUCUCUUCCCUUUACUCUCUCCUGGGCUGUUCCUCUGACAUUCCUCUUUUUUUCUCUCUUAAUAUGAUGUCUUGUAAUGUCCUCUAGUACCCACUAGGAGAAACACUGACAGAGAUCAUUUCCAGGCCUAAUUAAUAUUUCUGUCUAAAGUUUUUCUCUUUGUUUUAGAAAUUGAGAGAGAUCAACUGGUGACCAUGGAUUUUUCAGUCGUGUCCACGUGGCCUUCCUUCCUCUGACUUCAAAUUAUCAAUAAAGUCAUCAGCAUUAAAGCCCUGGCUCUUAUUUUCCUUCUAAGUCAUGGUUCUUAGUCAGUGGAUGAGAAGGACUGGUUGAAAGAUACAAAGCCCUGAAGGACUUCAAAUUUGUGUGCUGUGCAGAUUGACCUCACUCCGAUUUUAAUAAUUUUGUGGGGACUUCACUCCCACCAAUAUUACAAAGCAGAAACAUUUUAUUCUUGAGACUAGUAAGGGAGUUUGCAAGUUCAGACGACCAAUGUACACAUCCUUUUCUUAGCUUAGACAUAGAGGGAAUUACCUCGUAAACUCAUCUGACUUCUGGUAGUCCUUCCAACUAUGGGAGCUGUAUUAUGAGGUGAGAGUGUGUACAAAGGAAACCCUGGGCAGUGUUGGUGGGAAUGCACGCUGGCACAGCCACUAUAAAAAAUAGCAUAGAGGUUCCUAAAAUAAUUACAAAUACAACUACAAUGCAAUCCAGUAUUUUCUUUUUGGGUAUUUAUCCAAAGAAAAUGAAAACUCUAUUUUGCAAAGAUACAUGCACCCCUAAUGUACACUGUGUAAUUAUUUACGAGAGACUAGCUAUGGAAGCAGCCUCGUGUCCAAGGGUAGAUGAAUGGAUAUAGAAGAUGUGGUGUGUAUACACAAUGGAAUGUUCCUUAAUUGUAAAAAGGAAGGAAAUCUUUCCAUUUGCAACAAUACAGAUGGAUCGAGAGUGUACAAUGCUGAAUGAAAUAAGUCAAGUAGAGACAAAUAAAUACUAUAGGAUUUCAUACAUAUGUGGAAUCCAAAAACCAGAACGAACCAACCAAACAGAACAGAACUAAAUAUCCAGUGCCUGUCAGAAGGCAAGGUGUGGAAGAAUGGUUAAAUGGGAUCAAAAGGCAUGUGAAAAGGUGCAAGAAUACAUUUGUAACAUAAAUAAGGCACAGGGACACAAGAAAUACACAAGGAACGCAGGAAAGCAGUUAAUAAUAUGCAACCAUUUUGUUUGCUGUAGAUGGUAGCUCGAUUUUUCUUGGUGAACCUUCACAAUGUAUAGAUAUGUUGAAUCACCAUGUUGUACACUUGAAACUAAUGUAAUAAUGUAGGUCAAGUAUGGUUUAAUCCAGGACCCAAAGAUCAUGACCUGAGCCACAAGCAGACACUUUGCCAACUGAAUCAUCCAAGAACUCCUGUAAAAGUUAUUUUUAAUCUUCCUUUGAAUAUACGUACACUUAACACCAAACAAAAGUCCUCUCCAUUUUCAAAAAGCAGCUUCUCUCUCCAUAACUAAACAGGGUUUGUCAUUUAUUGAAUGAGAAAUCAAAAUGUCCUUUUAUAACAUGUCAAAGAAUGUUUAUAAUGAUAUUCAAUAAUCCAAAAUUUUCUACCUAAAUGUCACUUUCUCCUGCCAGAAAUCCAAAGUAACGUUCUUCAUAAGGGGCUGGGAGACCAUUUAUUAUGCAAGAAAACUAUAUGCCGCAUACCUUGUACCCAACCACAAUAUUCUCUCACCUUCUUUCCUUCAGCCACAUCACACUCUACAGUUUGUCCAUCUCCUACACUGUGCAGAUAUUUCCAUGACUUUUUCUUUUUGAUGGCAGUCUGUCAACAGAACAGAGAUUUGUAAGUGAAGCAACAUCAAUACUGGCCACAGAUUUCACCUUUCAAGUUUAUCUCCUAUAUUACUACUUUUUUACAUUAUCAUUCUCCCAGUAACCAGGAUCUCCAAUACAAUAACAAAAUAAACAACCAACAAAACCACUGUAAAUCAGAUUUCCACAUUAUUUUCUUGAUUCACGCUACCUUUGGUAAUUCUUGAUAGGUGGAUUAAAUAGAAUGUUUAGUUACUACAUACUGUCGCUACAGCCUGAUGAUGAUAUGGGAUGGUAGUAGUUCCCUCAAGCUAUUCAGCAGCUACGAUUCUGACUGUACCUCCACACUGGUGGGGCAGGGGUGAAAUCUACCAAGUCCACAUUUCACCUAGAGAAGUUUCUAUAGAAAAAAGAAACUGCUACCCUCAAAAAGGAAUUGUAAACUCUGUGUAGGAGAGGAGGGAUGAUGAAGAAUGGAAAAAGGAAUUUAAGAAUACCAGUGGAUUAAGUAUUUCUGAUGGGAAUACACAAGAUUACCUCAGGAACGAAACAUUACUAAUAGCCAUAAUGUGGCCUCUUCCGUCCUAUUCCUCCAUUUUAAGGAUAAGUUAAUAUGAGGCUCGUAAGUGAUUUACCUGAAGACCUAAAGGUACAGCCUGGAAGUACAGGGGGAGUAUGUAGGGGAAAUUCACAUCCCUGCACUGUAUGUAUGACUAUUUCUGCAAUAGUGGCCCCAUCACACCAUUCUCAUCUACUCACCCCUACACAUUCCGUGAUGAUGCAUUAAAAGGUUGAGGACAGAUACUAGGCUGCAUGAGACACCUGCACCUGAAAACACCAGGGGAAGGCACAGAAUAGUUUUUGCAAUGAAUUUCCGUUCCUUUCCUUGGUCUCUCUAAACAGUUAAAGGGGGUCAGAUUUUCUGUAGAACUAGGUCAACUUUAUUUUAUAAAGCAAUCAGGCAUGUGACCAUGAAAAGCUGUGAAAAUAUUCAAGGUUAAAGAAGGCUGAAGAAACAUGACAGCCAAAAUACAGUACUAGAAAGGAUCUGUGUUCUGUAGGAGAAAAACAUGCUUCACAAUCAUGGAUUAGGGGUAGCCUGGGUGGCUCAGCGGUUUAGCACCGCCUUUAGCCCAGAGCCUGAUCCUGGAGACCUGGGAUCGAGUCCCACGUCAGGCUCCGUGCAUGGAGCCUGCUUCUCCCUCUGCCUAUGUCUCUGCCUCUCUCUCUCUCUCUCUCUCUCUCUUUCUCUCUCUCUCUGUGCCUCAUGGAUAAAUAAGUAAAAUCUUAAAAAAUAAAAUAAAAUCAUGGAUUCGCAAUUAGGGAAUUCAGGCUGUAGAAUGUGAAAGUAUCAUAUGAAUGUUAAAUAUACUGAAGUUGUACAUAACUCCUGGUUGCCUAAGAGAGUAUCACCACUCUUAGGGAAUACACACUGAAAAGUUAGGGGUAAAAGGACAUGAUUUG